RNAcentral lists this ribosomal RNA (219 nucleotides) under uncultured bacterium. Its description in RNAcentral is "partial 16S ribosomal RNA". It matches the Rfam family "Bacterial small subunit ribosomal RNA", at positions 1282 to 1500 of the family's 1533-position model. The record is from RNAcentral.
UAAGUCUCAGUUCGGACUGUAGGCUGCAACUCGCCUACACGAAGUUGGAAUUGCUAGUAAUCGUGGAUCAGCAUGCCACGGUGAAUACGUUCCCGGGUCUUGUACACACCGCCCGUCACACCAUGGGAGCUGGUAACACCCGAAGUCAGUAGUCUAACCGCAAGGAGGACGCUGCCGAAGGUGGGAUUAGCGACUGGGGUGAAGUCGUAACAAGGUAUC